This 741-nucleotide ribosomal RNA is filed under the name uncultured bacterium. RNAcentral's name for it is "bacterial SSU rRNA". It matches the Rfam family "Bacterial small subunit ribosomal RNA", at positions 63 to 773 of the family's 1533-position model. The record is from RNAcentral.
CGAACGAAGCUUUCUUUCACCGAAUGCUUGCAUUCGCCGAAAGAAGCUUAGUGGCGAACGGGUGAGUAACACGUAGGCAACCUGCCCAAAAGAGGGGGAUAACACUUGGAAACAGGUGCUAAUACCGCAUAACCAUGAACACCGCAUGAUGUUCAUGUAAAAGACGGCUUUUGCUGUCACUUUUGGAUGGGCCUGCGGCGUAUUAACUUGUUGGUGGGGUAACGGCCUACCAAGGUGAUGAUACGUAGCCGAACUGAGAGGUUGAUCGGCCACAUUGGGACUGAGACACGGCCCAAACUCCUACGGGAGGCAGCAGUAGGGAAUCUUCCACAAUGGACGAAAGUCUGAUGGAGCAACGCCGCGUGAAUGAAGAAGGCCUUCGGGUCGUAAAAUUCUGUUGUCAGAGAAGAACGUGCGUGAGAGUAACUGUUCACGUAUUGACGGUAUCUGACCAGAAAGCCACGGCUAACUACGUGCCAGCAGCCGCGGUAAUACGUAGGUGGCGAGCGUUGUCCGGAUUUAUUGGGCGUAAAGGGAACGCAGGCGGUCUUUUAAGUCUGAUGUGAAAGCCUUCGGCUUAACCGAAGUAGUGCAUUGGAAACUGGAAGACUUGAGUGCAGAAGAGGAGAGUGGAACUCCAUGUGUAGCGGUGAAAUGCGUAGAUAUAUGGAAGAACACCAGUGGCGAAAGCGGCUCUCUGGUCUGUAACUGACGCUGAGUUCGAAAGCGUGGGUAGCAAAC